CGGUAGGCCUAACACAUGCAAGUCGAACGGCAGCACAGGAGAGCUUGCUCUCUGGGUGGCGAGUGGCGGACGGGUGAGGAAUACAUCGGAAUCUACUUUUUCGUGGGGGAUAACGUAGGGAAACUUACGCUAAUACCGCAUACGACCUACGGGUGAAAGCAGGGGAUCUUCGGACCUUGCGCGAUUGAAUGAGCCGAUGUCGGAUUAGCUAGUUGGCGGGGUAAAGGCCCACCAAGGCGACGAUCCGUAGCUGGUCUGAGAGGAUGAUCAGCCACACUGGAACUGAGACACGGUCCAGACUCCUACGGGAGGCAGCAGUGGGGAAUAUUGGACAAUGGGCGCAAGCCUGAUCCAGCCAUACCGCGUGGGUGAAGAAGGCCUUCGGGUUGUAAAGCCCUUUUGUUGGGAAAGAAAUCCAGCUGGUUAAUACCCGGUUGGGAUGACGGUACCCAAAGAAUAAGCACCGGCUAACUUCGUGCCAGCAGCCGCGGUAAUACGAAGGGUGCAAGCGUUACUCGGAAUUACUGGGCGUAAAGCGUGCGUAGGUGGUCGUUUAAGUCCGUUGUGAAAGCCCUGGGCUCAACCUGGGAACUGCAGUGGAUACUGGACGACUAGAGUGUGGUAGAGGGUAGCGGAAUUCCUGGUGUAGCAGUGAAAUGCGUAGAGAUCAGGAGGAACAUCCAUGGCGAAGGCAGCUACCUGGACCAACACUGACACUGAGGCACGAAAGCGUGGGGAGCAAACAGGAUUAUAUACCCUGGGAGUC
Molecule: ribosomal RNA, 766 nt
Filed under: uncultured bacterium
Lineage: Bacteria
Description: bacterial SSU rRNA
Rfam family: Bacterial small subunit ribosomal RNA
Source: RNAcentral